RNAcentral lists this ribosomal RNA (281 nucleotides) under uncultured prokaryote. Its description in RNAcentral is "partial 16S ribosomal RNA". It matches the Rfam family "Bacterial small subunit ribosomal RNA", at positions 524 to 803 of the family's 1533-position model. The record is from RNAcentral.
UACGUAGGGGGCGAGCGUUGUCCGGAAUUAUUGGGCGUAAAGGGUUCGCAGGCGGCCUUUUAAGUCAGAUGUGAAAUCUCACGGCUUAACCGUGAUAAGCAUUUGAAACUGGAAGGCUUGAGUUAAGGAGAGGAAAGUGGAAUUCCUAGUGUAGCGGUGAAAUGCGUAGAUAUUAGGAGGAAUACCAGUGGCGAAGGCGACUUUCUGGACUUAUACUGACGCUGAGGAACGAAAGCGUGGGGAGCAAACAGGAUUAGAUAUCCGGGUAGUCCCUGAGCGGG